Molecule: ribosomal RNA, 433 nt
Filed under: uncultured bacterium
Lineage: Bacteria
Description: partial 16S ribosomal RNA
Rfam family: Bacterial small subunit ribosomal RNA
Source: RNAcentral
AACGAACGCUGGCGGCAUGCCUAACACAUGCAAGUCGAACGAGACCUUCGGGUCUAGUGGCGCACGGGUGCGUAACGCGUGGGAACCUGCCCUUAGGUUCGGAAUAACUCCCCGAAAGGGGUGCUAAUACCGGAUAACGUCUUCGGACCAAAGAUUUAUCGCCUUUGGAUGGGCCCGCGUUGGAUUAGCUAGUUGGUAGGGUAAAAGCCUACCAAGGCGACGAUCCAUAGCUGGUCUGAGAGGAUGAUCAGCCACACUGGGACUGAGACACGGCCCAGACUCCUACGGGAGGCAGCAGUGGGGAAUAUUGGACAAUGGGCGAAAGCCUGAUCCAGCAAUGCCGCGUGAGUGAUGAAGGCCUUAGGGUUGUAAAGCUCUUUUACCCGGGAUGAUAAUGACAGUACCGGGAGAAUAAGCGCCGGCUAACUCCGUG